CCCUUAGAUGUUCUGGGCCGCACGCGCGCUACACUGACGAAUGCAACGAGCUUAUAACCUUGGCCGAAAGGUCUGGGUAAUCUCCAAAUUUCGUCGUGAUGGGGAUAGAUUAUUGCAAUUAUUAAUCUUCAACGAGGAAUGCCUAGUAAGCGCAAGUCAUCAGCUUGCGUUGAUUACGUCCCUGCCCUUUGUACACACCGCCCGUCGCUCCUACCGAUUGAAUGGUCCGGUGAAGCGUUCGGACCGUGGCCUUUGGACGGUUCGCCGUCUGUUGGCUGCGGGAAGUUCGUUAAACCUUAUCAUGUAGAGGAAGGAGAAGUCGUAACA
RNAcentral lists this ribosomal RNA (327 nucleotides) under uncultured eukaryote. Its description in RNAcentral is "partial 18S ribosomal RNA". It matches the Rfam family "Eukaryotic small subunit ribosomal RNA", at positions 1470 to 1796 of the family's 1831-position model. The record is from RNAcentral.